UGCAGUCGAACGGAAGGCCUCUUCGGAGGUACUCGAGUGGCGAACGGGUGAGUAACACGUGGGCAAUCUGCCCUGCACUUCGGGAUAAGCCUGGGAAACUGGGUCUAAUACCGGAUAGGACCUCAAGACGCAUGUCUUCUGGUGGAAAGCUUUUGCGGUGUGGGAUGGGCCCGCGGCCUAUCAGCUUGUUGGUGGGGUGACGGCCUACCAAGGCGACGACGGGUAGCCGGCCUGAGAGGGUGUCCGGCCACACUGGGACUGAGAUACGGCCCAGACUCCUACGGGAGGCAGCAGUGGGGAAUAUUGCACAAUGGGCGCAAGCCUGAUGCAGCGACGCCGCGUGGGGGAUGACGGCCUUCGGGUUGUAAACCUCUUUCACCAUCGACGAAGGUCCGGGUUUUCUCGGAUUGACGGUAGGUGGAGAAGAAGCACCGGCCAACUACGUGCCAGCAGCCGCGGUAAUACGUAGGGUGCGAGCGUUGUCCGGAAUUACUGGGCGUAAAGAGCUCGUAGGUGGUUUGUCGCGUUGUUCGUGAAAUCUCACGGCUUAACUGUGAGCGUGCGGGCGAUACGGGCAGACUAGAGUACUGCAGGGGAGACUGGAAUUCCUGGUGUAGCGGUGGAAUGCGCAGAUAUCAGGAGGAACACCGGUGGCGAAGGCGGGUCUCUGGGCAGUAACUGACGCUGAGGAGCGAAAGCGUGGGGAGCGAACAGGAUUAGAUACCCUGGUAGUCCACGCCGUAAACGGUGGGUACUAGGUGUGGGUUUCCUUCCUUGGGAUCCGUGCCGUAGCUAACGCAUUAAGUACCCCGCCUGGGGAGUACGGCCGCAAGGCUAAAACUCAAAGGAAUUGACGGGGGCCCGCACAAGCGGCGGAGCAUGUGGAUUAAUUCGAUGCAACGCGAAGAACCUUACCUGGGUUUGACAUGCACAGGACGCGUCUAGAGAUAGGCGUUCCCUUGUGGCCUGUGUGCAGGUGGUGCAUGGCUGUCGUCAGCUCGUGUCGUGAGAUGUUGGGUUAAGUCCCGCAACGAGCGCAACCCUUGUCUCAUGUUGCCAGCGGGUAAUGCCGGGGACUCGUGAGAGACUGCCGGGGUCAACUCGGAGGAAGGUGGGGAUGACGUCAAGUCAUCAUGCCCCUUAUGUCCAGGGCUUCACACAUGCUACAAUGGCCGGUACAAAGGGCUGCGAUGCCGCAAGGUUAAGCGAAUCCUUUUAAAGCCGGUCUCAGUUCGGAUUGGGGUCUGCAACUCGACCCCAUGAAGUCGGAGUCGCUAGUAAUCGCAGAUCAGCAACGCUGCGGUGAAUACGUUCCCGGGCCUUGUACACACCGCCCGUCACGUCAUGAAAGUCGGUAACACCCGAAGCCAGUGGCCUAACCCUUU
RNAcentral lists this ribosomal RNA (1385 nucleotides) under Mycobacterium sp. DWMJ-299A2. Its description in RNAcentral is "bacterial SSU rRNA". It matches the Rfam family "Bacterial small subunit ribosomal RNA". Lineage: Bacteria; Bacillati; Actinomycetota; Actinomycetes; Mycobacteriales; Mycobacteriaceae. The record is from RNAcentral.